This is a non-coding RNA of Callorhinus ursinus (northern fur seal), 4278 nucleotides long. NCBI's taxonomy places the organism in Eukaryota, Metazoa, Chordata, Mammalia, Carnivora, Otariidae. The record is from RefSeq and is a predicted model, not a curated record.
UCGCUGUGUCUCUCUCUGUCAAAUAAUAAUAUCUUUAAAAACAAACAAACAAACAAACAAAAAAAAACCGGGUAACUCUUCAGGUAGUCCUUGUCUCUUUAGUCAGUAUGUUAUUGGUCCUUGGGUGCCAACAGAGAUAUUCUGUCAUUAUUAAGGAUUAAAAAUAUCCUUAUCCUGAAAAAAACACUCCAGGGACUAACAGAUCUCAGUCCCGAUUAUUACCCUAUAAAAAGGGUUGGCUUUGGGGGCUUAUGUUCCUGUUUUAAGCAGCCUAGGACUGGGACAGUUUUCUCCAUUGAGAAAAAAAGCCUUGAAAUAAUGUGUGUAACAGCGAAGUAAGCCUCAGGAUGAAUCAUGUGAGUAUUAGUACUGCUGAACCAAUGGCAUUCCAAAGCUGCUGGGGUCCCUUAGGUUUACAGAUGACUGCACUGAGCUGGUGUAUUUGCUCUGUAUGCCCCAACCCAAACCACACAGGUGGAACAGACUGCUGCCACAGCACUCCCUCCUUGCUGCUUGCUGUUGCUAGAGGGUAUGGCUGUGGGUCUCAGGGUCUCAGAGAGAGCCUGCUAGAUGGGACCCCCUGAUUCCCGUGCCUUGUCCACAGCUCAGCAGCGGAGGUGCCAGGGUGGAAGGCAGAGUGAGGCCCUAGGGCUACUGCAGCAUAUCUUUCUCAUGUACAAGGUCACCCACGACCCCUCUCGCAUUUGUUACCUGUCACUUCAUUUCUCUUGGAGAGGGACAAGGAGAAGGGAAAUGAAUUGAUUACAGUGGUGUAUUACAGGGCACUACCUUUCAGCAUCUUGAACUGGACUGAGGAACUGAGCAGUGGUGCACUGAGUGGUCCAGUCUGCAUUUAAGGGAGGAAAGGGUAGGAAAAGAAGGAAAGGUAAUUUCUGGCACCGGCUCUCUCCUCUCUCAGCUCCCAGUAAUACUUAGGAAGCAGAGUGGGUGGAACUAAGCAUAUUUGCAAAAACAGAUUAGCUCCGAUGCAGGCUGAAAAGUAUUUUCUAUACAACGUGAACUGAGACCCCCCUGUACCCUUGUCCUAUGUGCUUCAGAUAAAAUUUUUAUCAUGUUUCCUAGGUUAAUAUGCCAGAGCAUGAACUAAGAGUGGUCUUCAUCUUAGCCCCAGGUUGACUUGCAGGCAGCGGCUGGCCCAGCCCCUUCAUUUGGGGGAAAGCAGGGCAGGAGAGGGAUGGGAGUGGCAGACGUCGCUGGAUAAGGCUGGGGCCAUCUGCACUACUGUGAAUCAAGGUUGGCUCAGACAGAAGGCGCGAGGGAGGAGGUGCAGCUGCUGAUGGCUCAGACAGCUUGGACCUGUCCAGGCAAACAAGCCGCUCAAGUGCAAGAACAGCCAGCCAAGUAGGCAGAGCACGAAUAAGGACUUAAAGCUUGAAAUAUCUGACAAGAUAUGGAGGGAGGGUAGGAAGCUGUCUGGGAUUUCAACUGGUGUCUGGCCUUGCUUCUCACUGCUAAGGCAGACUCUUCUGCUACCGAAGGAUGGAAUGUGAUAUCUGGGAGCCAGUGGGCAAGCUAUUCUUUGAGCUAAAAUCUUAAAAGAAAUAUUCAUCUUAAAUUGCAAAGACAGUUCUGGACUGUUCUCCCUCACUAAUGCCCUCUAAAACAAAAUCAAACCAUUGUCCACAGAUAAUCCAUCUCUGCUCCAGUCACCUGCCCAAGGUUAAGAGCAUUGGGCCGUGAGAGAGAGAGUGUGUGGGGGCUGAGGGUGGGGGACACAACCACACUGCACCAUCAAUCGCACAGUCUGGGAACAGUCUCAGACCAGCUAAGGAAGGCGACGUGGGGUGUGCAGAAGAGGCAAAUACACGCUCUCCUCUUCCGCCUUCCAGGGCGGGUGGUGGUGGGGAGGGCAAGGCCAGCAGUGGGAUGUUCAAGCGCUAUUACAGCUCCUUCUGGUGAACACUCUUUGAGACAAUGGUUCUCAGUCCCAAGUAUAUACUGUCAGCACUAAGGAGCCGUUAGAAAAUACCAAUGUUCAGACUCUAGAUCAAUUACAGAGGCAUCUCUAGGGGUGGUGACAGGAUUUCGAUAUUUUUAAAAAUAUAGCCCGGUGGUUCAAGGGCAGGCUCAGGAUUAGAACCUCUGCUUUUGAGUCUAGAGGGAGCAGGGGAAGACUCAGUGGUCACGCUGGUUUCUGACAGGCAGGACAGUCCUGUCACUAAUGACAGAAGCUUUAGCUGAGCUAGUGCCCCUGGGGUUUCACUGAGGUUCAGGAGGAGUAACUUCGGAGAGAGCUGGCCAAGUAUCAAUUGACUGCCCUGGAAAAACAAAGGGAAACACUCCUACAAACAUAUCACCCUCCUAAGAGCCCCAGGUGAGGAGGGAGAGGGGACAGACUGCUCAGAGGCCCAUGAAUAUCAAAUGGGAGAAACCAAGGCACAGGGAGACUACCAUUUAUUCUACCAUAUAUUCUACCAUAUAUUAUUAUUAUUUAUACCAUUUAUACCAUAGUGGAAAGAGAAACCCUCCCUAGUCACAUAGGCUGCUCUACAAGCUAACUCAGGAGGGGCUCAGUUCAGGCUCAUAAGCCCAAAUGAAUGAGAAGCUACUUCUAAAAAAUGCCAGGUUUCUGACCCCUAGCCUAGUGGCAUUCCCUGCCACAGCCCUCCUUUGGUUCACUUCCUCAUCUAUAUGCUUACUUAGAGCCAGUACAAUGACUGGCACUGUGCCAGGUGCUGAGGAACAAUGGAGAUGAAAGACUUGGUUCUUGCCCUUGAGGAGUUCCUACCGUGGGGGAAACAACAAGAUGGACAGCCUAAGGGUGGCAACAAGGGGAGAUAAGUACUAGGGAGCAUAGGGGAGUCAGGGAAAGCUUCUGCCUCCUCCCAUCCAAACAGUCCAGUGAAGGCCACAUGGCCUGGAGUUUUACAUUUUAGUGACUCUGAGGCUACUUGUUCUUCUGAGUGGGCAGAGGAAGAAAAUGCCCGUUUGAAUUCUGGAUGUAGGCACCAGAUAUAGUGGUAGGACCCACACUGAUUCAGACCUGGGGCAAGACAGAUGCUCUGGGCCCUCCUACAGAGGGGCAGGGGGUGACUUCUGCACCUUUCUCAAGCUGGUUUGCUGAAAGGACUGUUCCAAGUCUUCCCCAGGGAGUAGGAAGAAGGACACCCAUGCACUUAGUAAACAUUAUUGGUAGCAGAGCUCUGGGCUGGUCGAGUGACCUUGGGCAGUCUGUAGCUUUCCCUCUGCUUCAACUUCCCUUAGCAACACACAGACUUGCUUAUAAGUAUACAUCACAAAGCCCCCUGAAUAAAGAAGAGCCAGCAGCUUGCUCAUGAAUGGAGAGGUGCUAAGUCAGGGUCCUAAGCCAGGCUGUGGUAUUUAAAUGUAGCAUGGAAGCUUCCAGCCAGAGCUCCAGAGCACCAUUUAGUUGGGCUGCAGCAAGCUUCUGUUUAUCCCACCUGCUGAGCAGCCAGAGCAAAAUACUGCUUGGGAGUUAGGACAGGUGCUGAAGACACAAAAGGGCCCUCACACACUUGCACACAGGACUGAGAGCACAUGGACUCCCGGGAAGGACAGGGAGGUGCAAUUUCAGCCCCCUCGCCCCUCACUCUAGCUUCAGCAAAACCCCACUAGGUAAAGUGCUGAACACUAAGGAAAUCAGAAUCCUCCUGUGCAUGUGUCGCCACGUAGUGGUCUUUUAUGGUCCUGGUGUGGCAAGAGAGGUCCUCAGCGUGGUAUGCAGGAGUGCUGGCAAGUGACAAGGCACGUAAAGCCCAAAGCACAACAGCUUUUGGGGCUGGGUGGUACUGAGGUCACUCAGUAGAACAAAGCUGCCUAGUUGUCCACUCUGAAUUCCCAUUCUAGGUGUCAUCUGUUCUUUGUGCCCAAGCUGUUCUUCACCUCCUCAGGAGCUGAUGGUCCAGAUUACUUAUGGGAACUUAUCCUGAAAGGUCACUCUUAGGUUACGCAGAGCCCCAAGUCAGAGCUGAUCUAGGGUGUGGGGAUCCAAAUUUAAUCUUCUAAACCACCGGUUCUCAACCUUAUCUGAACAUUAGAAUCCCCUGAAGAGAUUCUAAGUUCUUUUAAAAACAUUUUUUUAUUACUGAAAAAACUCAGAUUUGAGAAAUUUGAAACACUGGAACUAGAGAAUAGUUACGAACUCCCAUAUACCGACCAUCCAGAUUUAGUAAUUAUCAAAACAGAUCUGCUCCAUCUAUCCCCCUUUUCUUUGCUGACGUAUUUUAAAGCAUACCCCAGACAUGAUGUCACCUCACCUUUCCAUACUUCAGUGAGGAGGAACACAAGCAGUGGGGA